Molecule: ribosomal RNA, 229 nt
Filed under: uncultured bacterium
Lineage: Bacteria
Description: partial 16S ribosomal RNA
Rfam family: Bacterial small subunit ribosomal RNA
Source: RNAcentral
UAGCGGCGGACGGGUGAGUAACGCGUGGGAACAUACCCAAUGGUACGGAAUAACUCAGGGAAACUUGAGCUAAUACCGUAUAGUCCCUGAGGGGUAAAGAUUUAUCGCCAUUGGAUUGGCCCGCGUCUGAUUAGGUAGUUGGUGAGGUAAUGGCCUACCAAGCCGACGAUCCAUAGCUGGUUUGAGAGGAUGAUCAGCCACACUGGGACUGAGACACGGCCCAGACUCC